CCUACGGGAGGCUGCAGUGGGGAAUAUUGCACAAUGGGCGAAAGCCUGAUGCAGCAACGCCGCGUGAGCGAUGAAUGCCUUCUGGUUGUAAAGCCCUUUCCUCAAGGAAGAAAAUGACGGUACGUGUGGAGGAAGCCCCGGUUAACUACGUGCCAGCAGCCGCGGUCAUAGGUAGGGGGCUAGCGUUAUUCGGAAUUACUGGGCGUAAAGGGUGCGUAGGUGGUUUCUUAAGUCAGAGGUGAAAGCGUACGGCUCAACCGUAGUAAGCCUUUGAAACUGGGGUACUUGAGUGCGGGAGAAGGGAGCGGAAUUCGUGGUGUAGCGGUGAAAUGCAUAGAUAUUACGCAGAACACCGAUUGCGAAGGCGGCAUUCUGGACUGUAACUGACACUGAAGCACGAAAGCGUGGGGAGCAAACAGGAUUAGAUACCCUGGUAGUC
Molecule: ribosomal RNA, 439 nt
Filed under: uncultured bacterium
Lineage: Bacteria
Description: partial 16S ribosomal RNA
Rfam family: Bacterial small subunit ribosomal RNA
Source: RNAcentral